Molecule: ribosomal RNA, 829 nt
Filed under: Euwallacea sp. UFIFAS UFFE 14153
Lineage: Eukaryota; Metazoa; Arthropoda; Insecta; Coleoptera; Curculionidae
Description: partial large subunit ribosomal RNA
Rfam family: Eukaryotic large subunit ribosomal RNA
Source: RNAcentral
UGAAACCGUUUAGGGGUAAACCUGAGAAACCCGAAAGGUCGAAGGGAGAAAUUCAUUCGCGUCUCGAGGCAGGCGUCGGACGGGGUCGAGCGACGGAACGGGCGCGCGUUUUUCUUCGGAAUCGCGCGUUCGACUUCGCGCCCUCCGUCCGUUCGAACCGGCAGCGAACGCGUGCACUUUUCUCCUGGUAGGACGUCGCGAUCCGUCGGGCGUCGGUCUACGACUUGCGGCGGAGACCGUCCGUCGUUCUUCGGAACGUACGGCGCGGACCCGCUCGUUCCGGCCGACUCGCUCGACGGUACAAAUCGAGGUCUGGGGUCGCUGCUACUUUUAGUCUCGCGUUCGCGCGAGACGAAAAAGAGAGCGUUCGACUCGUCGCAAGCGCGUCACGUGCGUCGGCACGCGGACCCGGUGCCGCGUCCGAUCUCUGGCGACUGUUGGCGACGAUUAGUUCUCGAACAGACUUCCCUCUCGGGGGUGGGGGGAGAGAGGGGUCAAACUCUUUCUCUCUCUCUCUCUCUCGAAGACCGAUCGGCGACGCUAUAGCUUUGGGUACUUUCAGGACCCGUCUUGAAACACGGACCAAGGAGUCUAGCAUGUACGCGAGUCAUUGGGAUUUUUACUAAACCUAAAGGCGCAAUGAAAGUGAAGGUUUUCCUCGCGAAGACCGUGGGAAGACGGACGGGUGUUGGUUAAAGGUACGAGGUACACCGACUCGAUCGCCCGUCCCGCAUUCCCGGGGCGUCUCGUUCGCAUCGCGCGAAGAGGCGCACCGCGAGCGUACACGCUGGGACCCGAAAGAUGGUGAACUAUGCCUGGUCAGGACGAA